AAUCAACGCUGGCCGCGUGCCUAACACAUGCAAGUCGAACGCGAAAGCCCCGCAAGGGGUAAGUAGAGUGGCAAACGGGUGAGUAACACGUGGGUGACCUGCCUUCGAGUGGGGGAUAACGUCCCGAAAGGGACGCUAAUACCGCAUGACAUCCUGCUUUUGAAAAAGCGGAGAUCAAAGCUGGGGGUCGCAAGACCUAGCGCUUGAAGAGGGGCCCGCGCCUGAUUAGCUAGUUGGUGAGGUAACGGCUCACCAAGGCGACGAUCAGUAUCCGGCCUGAGAGGGCGGACGGACACACUGGGACUGAGACACGGCCCAGACUCCUACGGGAGGCAGCAGUGGGGAAUUGUUCGCAAUGGGCGCAAGCCUGACGACGCAACGCCGCGGGGAGGACGAAGAUCUUCGGGUCGUAAACUCCUGUCGAGCGGGACGAACGCUUCGCGGAUGAAUAAUCCGCGGAAUUGACGGUACCGCUAAAGGAAGCCCCGGCUAACUCCGUG
This 500-nucleotide ribosomal RNA is filed under the name uncultured bacterium. RNAcentral describes it as "partial 16S ribosomal RNA". It matches the Rfam family "Bacterial small subunit ribosomal RNA", at positions 29 to 507 of the family's 1533-position model. The record is from RNAcentral.